This is a long non-coding RNA of Sinocyclocheilus anshuiensis, 413 nucleotides long. RefSeq lists it as uncharacterized. The record is from RefSeq and is a predicted model, not a curated record. NCBI's taxonomy places the organism in Eukaryota, Metazoa, Chordata, Actinopteri, Cypriniformes, Cyprinidae. The transcript has 3 exons.
GGGACUGAGUCACUGCGCGCGGAGUCUGCGAGUGCCAAAGUCACUUGCGUUUAUCGCUCUUCCACUCGUUUUAUAUUACGCGUGUAUUGACAGGUUCUGUCUCACCGGGAACAUUACCGCAAAAUAAACAGCGACCGUUUCCCGAAAACCACGCGAGUGUUUUGUGUACGAGAGGCAGAUAGCAAGUGUUCUGCGUUCGUCUAUGAACGGCAUCAUCUAUGAGCUACAAUGGAGCAGAAUCUAAAGUCUGUAAGAAUGUGGAUAAUCACCUGCCUUUUGUUAAUUUUGGGUCAAGCAAUGGAGAAUGACAGAGACUUUAAGAUGUGUGGAACAUGGCGCCAUGGCAACGCAUCCCGAAAUCUGAAAUCUUAUUUGAAAACAGGCUGUAAGGAAAUUGAGAUUUCAGCCAAUGA